Long non-coding RNA from Alosa alosa (allis shad), 194 nucleotides. RefSeq lists it as uncharacterized. Lineage: Eukaryota; Metazoa; Chordata; Actinopteri; Clupeiformes; Clupeidae. The record is from RefSeq and is a predicted model, not a curated record. The transcript has 3 exons.
GAUCCAAAAAUAGAUUGAAGUAGGCCUAGCUGCAACCAACCAUGAGCAAAACUCAGCUUUGAUGCUCGGAUGUAACAUUUAAAGGCUGAGAUGAGUUAUCAGAAAACAGUUGCAGGUGACGACGAGGACUCAUUUUUUGAGCAUGUGCAGACAUCGAUAUUUAUGACAUGGGUACUGUCAACCACUCUGACAAA